RNAcentral lists this ribosomal RNA (564 nucleotides) under uncultured archaeon. RNAcentral's name for it is "bacterial SSU rRNA". It matches the Rfam family "Archaeal small subunit ribosomal RNA", at positions 326 to 894 of the family's 1478-position model. The record is from RNAcentral.
CGGGGUGCACCAGGCGCGAAAACUUUACAAUGCGGGAAGCCGUGAUAAGGGGACACCGAGUGCCAGCAUCAUAUGCUGGCUGUCCAGGUGUGUAAACUACACCUGUUAGCAAGGGCCGGGCAAGACCGGUGCCAGCCGCCGCGGUAACACCGGCGGCCCGAGUGGUGAUCGUGAUUAUUGGGUCUAAAGGGUCCGUAGCCGGUUUGGUCAGUCCUCCGGGAAAUCUGACGGCUCAACCGUUAGGCUUUCGGGGGAUACUGCCAGGCUUGGAACCGGGAGAGGUAAGAGGUACUACAGGGGUAGGAGUGAAAUCUUGUAAUCCCUGUGGGACCACCUGUGGCGAAGGCGUCUUACCAGAACGGGUUCGACGGUGAGGGACGAAAGCUGGGGGCACGAACCGGAUUAGAUACCCGGGUAGUCCCAGCCGUAAACGAUGCUCGCUAGGUGUCAGGCAUGGCGCGACCGUGUCUGGUGCCGCAGGGAAGCCGUGAAGCGAGCCACCUGGGAAGUACGGCCGCAAGGCUGAAACUUAAAGGAAUUGGCGGGGGAGCACAAGGGCGAAUU